This 8912-nucleotide long non-coding RNA is filed under the name Theobroma cacao (cacao). Its description in RNAcentral is "long non-coding RNA (TCAC_LNC001267)". The record is from RNAcentral. Lineage: Eukaryota; Viridiplantae; Streptophyta; Magnoliopsida; Malvales; Malvaceae.
UCCACUAAGCCCAAGCAAGCCUAUUAAUCUGACAUGUUUAUCAUUCCAUCAUAAACUGCUAAGUCAUAUAUCAUAACUUAGAAUCAAAAUAAUAUUAAGCAUUGCCCCACUUCAUACUGGCAUACCAAACAGGUGUAUAUACAUUGUCUACACAUGUAUCUUAAUAAUUCACAUUAGGUUUGUCUAUACACAACAAAAGGAGACUCGAUGUCCAGCGAAAAGACUCGGACGAAUGUACAGCUACUGAAUGCCGAGACACCUACCAAAAUAUGGAUACAAGUCCACGAGGACACCUCGUCCUAGUUACCGACUGUCUUUCAAUCUGAAAACAUGAAGUUGAAAACGGUGAGCAUAAACUUAGUGAGUGAACAAGAAAGGAACAAGCAUACUAUAAGGAAUGUUUAUCGAAAUCAUGAUGCACUCAUAUUCUCAAAACAAUGCAAUUUGUUCUAGUUCUUAGUAGAACCCCUCAUGUAAACCCCUCAUGAGUAAAUCACUUAAAAGAUCCAUACUCAACUAUGGUACCAAAGAAUCGAAAAAUAUAGCAAAACCCACAAGUUAGCCAAAAUGGACAGAAAGUUUCUCGUUGCAGCGAACUUUAUUCUCGCUGCAAAGAGAACUAGGUCUGGUGAAGGCCCUCAAACCUGAGAGUUUCUCGCUACAGCAAAAAUGAAUCUCACUGCAGCGACAGUCAGAACAUCAAGGAAAAAGUCUCAUUUUCCUUUAACACAAGCCAUCCUGUUAAAAUAACAAUAGCAACAUGUAACACAUGUAAACUCCCAAAUUUCAACAAGUCAAAUGCUCACAUAUUUGCAUUUACAACCAUAUACCAUAUAUAUAUAUAUAUAUAUAUCAAUCAUCAUAUACACCCUCCCAUCAUCAUCAUCUCAUAUGCAACGGCUUAUGCGUACUCCCACUCACAUAUAGCCGGGUCAGCAACGGCUUAUGUCCACUCCCACUUGCACAUAGCCGAGUCAGCAAUGGCUUAUGUGCAUUCCCAUUCGCACAUAGUCGGGUCAGCAACGGCUUAUGUGCACUCCUACUCGCACAUAGUUAGGUCAGCAACGGCUUAUGUGCACUCCUACUCGCACAUAGCGGGGUCAGCAACGGCUUAUGUGCACUCUUACUCGCACAUAGCUGGGUCCACAUCAACAUGCAAAGAAGAAUCCAAUGUAUAUCAUGCAUUUUAUCAUAUUGUGAUAACACAUAAACCAUUGUAUAGCACAUUUUCACAAUAUAAAAUCAUUUUACUAAAAGCAUGUUCCCAAGGUACAUUUUCUAAGACAAGUUGGAUAGAAUCUUUCAUAUUCUCCAAAACAAAUUUGAAAUGCAAGUCCACUCAUCGGUAUUCGUUGAGCCUUUAGCCGACUCUUAAUCCCUCUAAUGAUCCAAUUGGGGUGAUGGGGCUUCGUUAGUACCUACCAUCAAAUUAACAUUUCCAUAAUGUCAAUUUACAUACUAUAAACCCUAAAAGCUAUUUUUUAGCUAGCUUUCAAUUGCCAUUUAAAUGGCCAUCCAUCAUCACUUUCCUAUCACUCCAUAGUGAAUUAAUAAUGUCAACUACAAAAUAUUCACAAAUCAAAUCUCUAGUCAUUCUCAACACUUAAAACCCAAUACUAGUUUACUACUCACCUUAAUAGAUUUGUAACUUUGAACUUCUUUCCAAAAGCUCUCAAGCUAUUAAUAAAGCUUCCUCUUUCUCUCUCUAAAACACCUAACUAGUGAGAGAGUAUGGAAACAAGAUUUUCAUCAUUUUCAAGGGUUUUAAAGUGAGAGAGUGGAAAAAUACAAGGGUUCUAGUCAAAAGGGCACCAAGGAGUGAAAAUUAGAGCCAGAGAGAGAAAAUUAUGAAAGCUUCACAUCAAGCUUUUAUGGAGGAAUUGAAGAAACGUGAAAGGGAAGAGAACAAGAAGAAGAAGCUGUUGGAAAUCCCAAGAAGUUGCUAGAAGGAGAGGAUAUUUAUGGCCUCAACUUAUCCAUUCCUUUGGAAAUUACUAAAAUGCCCCACCACAAAUUAGCUUAAUCCUUGAAAUCCCACACUUUUUCUUCAAUUUUUCCCACCUAGGGUUUGUGUUCUUUCCUUUCCUCUUCACUUCAUGCUUUGGCCGGCCAUAUGGGUGAGACUAAGAGAGUUUUAAAUAGAUUUUACAAGGAAAUUCUAGAAUAAUCCAAGUUUAACACAUGGCAUGUUUUCAUUGGUCCAUGUGUAAUACUUAUCCAUUAUGCAAUCUCUCUCCACCACAUAAAAUGUUUCAAUUAUCCACAAUGUAAAAUGUUAAUGGCUGAAAUCCAUGGGCAUGACAAAUGUCAGGUGGUGUAAAAUUUCAAAAUUCCCAUUUUAUCCUCGAGUGACAAAAUUACCAUUUUGCCCAUAGAACAUGAAAAUCAUCAAAAUUUUUAUGUCCUUGUCAUUUCACCGAUAUUUUCAUCAUUCAUUUAUGCUUUAUGCCUACUUAAGCCAUAAUAUUGUUUAAAACUUACUUUUAUGGGCUUAUUGAGAAAAUGACGAAAUUACCCAUGAUUAGGGAUAUCGUGUAUAUUUCUAUCUACGAGUCUAUAAAGGUCAAGGUCUCACAUUUUCCCCCACUUAAAGAAAUUCGAUCCCUGAAUUUAAAUUCAACUAUAAGGUGGGGUAUUGUCUUCUUAUCUGAUGUUCAACUUCUCAUGUCAUCUCUUCUAUUCGAGCAUUCAUCCACAAUACUUUAACCAUUGGGAUGCUCUUAUUCAUUCCUAUAUGUACCCUAAUAUUUUUGUUUACCUCACAUUUAUGUAGCUUCAAUCUUCUUAAUCAUAUGUGUCACGACCCGGAACUCCCAUCGAGCCCGUGACAACCGCUGCGACAUCUUGAUCGACAUUCAUUACCCGAAAUGUCAACAGAAACCCCACAAGGUUUUAAUAUCAGCUUCCCAUUUCCCCUGUGGGUAACUGUUGCCAAAUACCACAUUCUAAAAGAUUUAAAACUAUUUCCAACUUAAACAAAUAAAAUAAUAAUUUUCGUCUCACAGAGGUAGUUUUGUCAUUUAUCCCAAAAAUCUCAAAAUCAGUUAAAAAUAUAGUAUGUAAGUGGAAAACACAUAUUUCAUAAUCAAAAAUAAUUUUGGAUGUGUAAAACAUUCGUUAAAAAUGGAAUUAUGACUGUUAGAAUAAAAUAAAAGUAUUAAAUAAAAUAUUCAAUUUUCACAUAAAAUAAUAUUUUAAGAACAUUGCAUAAAUAAUUUUUAUAGUGUAAAAGCAAAAUAAAUUCCUACAUACCGUAAUGCAGAUAACCAAAGUAUAGAAUUAAUUUACAGUGACACGUGGGCCCACGAAUGACCAAAAGCAUAAAAAAAAAUGAACCUACAGUUUUUGGAUGUGGCAAGUUCAAUUGUAAUCCUUACCGAUAUCAGUUAUCUACAAUCUAUUCUAAACCUGAAAUGGGUGGAAAUGAGGGUGGUGAGAUUAUAAAAUCCCAGUGAAUAAACAAACAUCACUCAAAAUAUCUAAAGUCGAGUAAAAGAAGACUAUUAAAACAUUUCAUCAAACUGUAAUUUAUCAUCUUUCAACUUAUUUCAACCAAAUGAAAUCAAUUUAUUUAAAGCAAGUAAUCAGUAUGGCUUAUGAAUUUCUUAAAAAGCUUGGCUCAUGCAAAAAAUUAUUAUCAUACUCAGUUAUUUGGGAUACCUUGGCCGAGGGCUAUCCCAACUGAGUUCGCCAAGGCUAUUAGAAAGUCAUGUUUUUAUUUUGAAAACAUAGCCGUUCCUUGGCGUUGGCCGAGUUCCCCUUCACGUGGUGGUUUGGCGUGAAGUGAACUCUAAAAGUUAUACCUCGGGAGUUACCUUACUCACCUCUCCAACCGAGGUAAAAAUAUAACAAGAUUCUGUGCCCUUCUAAUAGGCUAGUCCACAGAACCCAACCCACUGCAGCAAGUCAAACCCAUCAUACAAUAAAAUUUUGAUAGCAUGACAGGGCUAAUAUAUUACUACCCAGCCUGCAAGGGUAAAAUAAAGCAAUUCAUACAAUUCAUAAAAAAUACAGCCUAACCAGUCAUGCCAAUACAAUAACAUAAGCCAUUAAUUCAAUUUUAAAUUUACAACAUAUCAGUGGUCUCCAAUUACUCUAUUUUCAAAACCAGUAUUCGAUUUUCUAGAAAAUUUAUAAAAUAAUUUUAUAAAAUCACAAUUUUUCUUAAAACAUAGCAAUUUACCAUUUUAACUCAUUUUCAUAAAAUUCACCAAAAUCGAAUAAAAGCAUACUUUAGAUAAUUAAAAUGAUGGUAAGGUUACUCAUAGUGUCUAGAGUAGGGAUUUUCGAAAUACUCAGACUACUGGUCCUCGGGUGCAAUUCCCUUGCCUUUAUCGGAUGACUCACCACCUUUUUAAUGCUUGAUUUCUUGAUUUCUCUUGAUUUUUCCCAAAUUUUUCAGGUAGAGUUCUUAUUUCUUUUCCCUCUUUUCUCUAUUGGUUUGGACGGCUGAAGAAGAUGAAAAUUCUAGAAUUUUGACCUUUUUAAAGGCUAAAAUAAUAUAAUAUUAUUUUAUUUUUUUUUAAUGUUUUAUUAAUUCCUUAAAUUCUAGCCAUCCAUUUGUUUCCAAAAUUUCACCAUACACUUGUCCCACAUAUCCAUAGCUUAGAUAAAGUUCUCAGACUUAUCCAAAGUCUUGGUGGAGUAAUUUUUUUGAAAUUUACACUUUGGCCCUUAUAAAAGUCAAAAAUUACAUUUUUGCCCCAAAAACUAAAAAAUUACCCAUAGACAUAUUUUUCAUCCCUUAUACUCAUACCAUUCUCCAAUUUGUCAAAUUUGAUCUAAAUUCUCUCAAAAUCUUAAAUUUUGUCCGUGGGUGGUAAAAUUACGAUUUUACCCCUACACUCUAGAAACUAUCGAAAUUAAACUUUUUCACUGCCAAACCCUCAAAUUAUACUCCAAUAAGUCAAAUGAGGCCAAAACAAAUCUUUUCUAAAAAUUCCCAUUGUGUCCCUAGGUGGCAAAUGACCAUUUUACCUCUAGACAGUGAAAAUUUUGGUUUGACUCCAAAUUGAUCCUCGAACUCCAAAUCACUAUAUUAAACCAUUUUGGGACUUUAAUAUUCUUAAUUUCAUUUUAAAUUCUCUAUUUGAUCUAGUUCGAGGCUUAAAUUAACUUAAUUAUAUCAUUUGGUACAUUGUCGUCUUUUAACGAUUUUUCUUCCGGGGCUUUCCAAGUAUGCAAGCAUAUUGUCAAUCAUAUGAAUGACAUGACAAGUAUUUUAUAAGGUCGGGCUUGACAAUAUGAGUCCAUCACGUACGGGUUAACCGCGCUAUAGAUUACAUUUCCUUGAUACCAUUUGCUUAACUAUCUCCUAAAGUCUCUUAUGUCCACGUAACUCAACCUCUAAUGGGAUUUCUUAUCAUUACGCUACCUUUAUCACUUGCCAACAAUCAAUAAUUCCCACUUCAGAAUACUCUUUCCAUAUUACAAUUGCUUCCUGCAACUUUCCCCAAAACCUACUAGUAAACUGAGCUCCUCUGUCAGAUACUAUAGAAAUGGGGAUACCACGCAGCUGUACUAUCUCAUCUACAUAAACUCAAGCAUAUUAGGCAGCACUAUAAGUAGUCUUAACUAGAAGAAAAUUAGUUGACUUUGUUAACUGGUCUACUAUGAUCCAAAUCAAGUCAAAGCCCCCACUAAUUCGAGGCAAACCCGUUACAAAGUCCAUAGAAACAUGCUCUCACUUCCACUCGGGUACUAGUAAUGGCUGUAGUAGCCUCGCAGGCUUUUGAUGCUCGGCCUUAGCCUACUGACAAACCAGGCACUUGGAGACAAACUCAGCUACAUCUCUCUUAAGUCCUUCCCACCAAUACACCUUUUUCAAAUCUUGAUACAUCUUUAUAGCCCCUAGAUGUACCACAUAGGCUGCCAUGUGAGCUUCCUCUAAUAUUUCUCUCCUCAACCCGUCCCAUCAGGCACAUAAAGUCUAGUUCCAUACCUUAACACUCCAUCUGUGCCUUUGUAAACAUUUUUCCUUUUCUUCCCUAAGGAUCCUCUAAGGCCUUAACUACAAACUCAUCUUUAAUCUUGUCCAUUAAAAUAGGCCUCACUCUAAAAUGUGCUAGCAAUGCAUUUGUCUCAACAACUUCCAAAUGCACACCUAUGUCUCCCAAGCUAUGGAUCUCCCUAACCAAGGAUCUCCUAUCUGUAGCAAUAUGUGCCAGACUCCCCAUGGUGAGACGCUAGGUCGAAUAAAGCCUUUAUCCAACAAAUCUUCUAACUGAUCCUUAAGCUUUUUAAGCUCUGCAAGUGCCAUUCUAUAUGGGGGUAUAGAUAUAGGUCUAGUGUCGAAAAUCAAAUCUAUGCAAAAUUCAAUCUCCUACUCGGGAGGUAAACUGGUAGUUCCUCAAAAAAUACAUCCAUGAACUCAUUCACCAUCGACACUUGACUUAUAUUUCCAACCUUCGCCUCAGUAUCCCUUACCACUGCCAAGUAACCUAUACAACCCUGUCGUAAUAACCUUCGGGUAAACAGGACCGAUAUCAAAUUGGUUCGAACAUUACUUUUAUCCCCCUGAAUACUAAAUGAUGGUUCAUCGGGAAAAUCAAAUCUAACCAAUUUAUGAUAGCAGUCCACACUAGCAUGGCAGGGUGAUAACCAAUCCAUCCGCAAGAUCACAUCAAAGUCUAUGGUGUCUAACACCACUAGAUUCAUCAAAGUAUCUUUGUCCUUGACUCGCACUACAUAGGACUUAUAUUCCCAUUCGACUACAAAUACCUCCUUUAAAGGAGUAGACAUCACUAAUUGUUCCUCUUUCCUAACACGAUCUCUACCCAACCGAGAUGCAAAACAUGGAGAGAUUAAAGAGUGGGAAGCACUAGGAUCAAAUAAGACUUGAGCAUUCAUAUUGCAAACUAAGAGAAUACUUGAGACCACUGCAUUGGAUGUCUGAGCCUCCUGCUGUGUUAAAGCAAACACCCUCGCCUAGCCUCUACCAACACAACUCUGACGUUCGGACCCAAAUGGCCUACCUUGAGAGGAAGUACCAGCACCUCUACCUCUAGAUCCACUAGCUUCCCUAUCAGACGAGGCGACAACUGAAGAAGUAAACGAAGCUGGCUGGGUGGAACCAUGAGUAGAAUCUUGUGAUUGAUGAGCCAUCGUACAAUCCCUCAUAAUAUGCCCAGGUUGACCACACCUGAAACAAACUCCCGUAGCACGAAGGCAUCUUCCUUUAUGCCGUCCCCCACAAGUAUGGCAAGGAAGGAUAAGUUGACUUCCUUGUCUCGUAUCUUGCUGCCUUCCAGCACUGAAGGUUCUUUGUCCCGCUGCGAUACUAGCACUAGGCAAGUCACUCCCUUGUUGGGGAAAUCGUGAGUCCCUCUGUGGACCCUGACGGCUAGAAGAUGAACCACCACUGCUGAAAUCUCUACGACCUUGAUAACCCUUUGUCUUGGCUCUUUUUGCUCUAUCCCUCAUAACCCUACUCUCACUGGUCCUCAUUUUAAUCCACUGAGCACAAUCUACUGCUACAGAGUAGGAUUUAAAAUCUCGGGAUGCCACAGCCCUAAACAGUGGCUCUACUAGCCCAUCCAUAAUCCUCUGAAUCUUCAUCUCCUCAGUGGAAACGAGGUAAGGAGCAUAUCGAGACAACUGCAUGAACUUGAUGUUGUACUCCGACACCGUCAUACUAUAGGUCUAUACCAGAGUCUCAAACUCCCUAGUUCGUGCAUUACGUACACUGAGUUGUAAGAAUCGGUCUAAAAAGGCUGCACUAAACUCACCCCAAGUCAGUGGUGCUGUAUCUGUCAGUUUGCCUCUACAUAGAGAACUAUACCACUCCUGUGCUACAUCCUCUAAUCGGAAGGCGGCUAGCUCGACUGAUCGGACACUAGAGCAUCCUAAAGCCUUACAUAUUUUCUCCAUCUUAUCUAAAAAGAUCUGGGGCUUCUCCGACGCAUCGAACCCUGAAAAUGAUGGAGACUUAAGUUUAAGAAAAUCAGGAAGAGAAAUCUCUAAGUGACCUUUCUCAACCUCAUGAUAUUGGCGGUCGGCCUGUCCUUGGGAGCUAGGGGAUUCUUGCACUGUAGGUUUCCCCUCUACUACCCUCUGUAUAUCCUCCAUAUGGGUCGCCAUCAUCUCUACAACCCGAUUAACUCCCUGUAGGCCUGUCGCCAAAUCCUCAAUGGUAAUACCCCCAGCUGGGUGUCUAUCUACAUCACCUGAGGACUGUCCCUCCUCUCGCCUACUCACAAGCGUAUCCACCCUUACCAGCCUAGUGGCCCUGCCACGUCUACCUCGGCCCCUUAAGGUGGAUGCCCGUGGCCUAUCUGCCAUCUCAGUAGGAGCAUCUUGCUCCCCCAUCCGUCUUGAGGCGGCUCGUGUCGUAGGCGGCAUUCUUACCUAGACAAGAACAAACACCUGUUACCAAACACAUUUCAUAAUCAUACUCAAGAAAAAAGGUGGUUUCUAAGAUAGGGAAUCUAUGCGGUCCCUUGGUCAUAAAAAUGUGUCGCAGUUCACACUUCACAACCGAAGUUCCCACAUAAAAACCCGACAUUCCGCUGGACCAACAAAUGGAAAUCCUAGGACCUAGACAAACCUAGCGCUUUGAUACCAACUUUGUCACGACCCAAAUUUCGGGCCAUGACCCGCGCAUGGGCCCAAUGGACGUAGUCCAUUAAGCCUAAGCAAACCUAUUAAUCUGACAUGUUCAUCAUUCCAUCAUAAACUGCUAAGUCAUAUAUCAUAACUUAGAAUCAAAAUAAUAUUAAGCAUUGCAACUUCAUACUGGCAUACCAAACAGGUGUAUAUACAUUGUCUACACAUGUAUCUUAAUAAUUCACAUUAGGUUUGUCUAUACACAACAAAAGGAGACUCGAUGUCUAGCGGAGAGACUCGGACGAAUGUACAGCUACUGAAUGCCGAGACACCUACCAAAAGAUGGAUACAAGUCCACGAGGACACCU